AUCGCUUCUCGGCCUUUUGGCUAAGAUCAAGUGUAGUAUGCUACUGGAUGGGUGAUCUCUCUGUGUGUCUUUCUGGCCCUCUGACUUUAAAAUAAAUAAAAAGAAAUUAGUUUUUAAAAUUUUUUUAAAAACUAAACAAAUGAAUCCUUUUAUCACCCAGAAGGUAUCAACAUUAAACUUUG
Molecule: small nuclear RNA, 182 nt
Organism: Ochotona curzoniae (black-lipped pika)
Lineage: Eukaryota; Metazoa; Chordata; Mammalia; Lagomorpha; Ochotonidae
Product: U2 spliceosomal RNA
Exons: 1
Source: RefSeq, a predicted model, not a curated record